RNAcentral lists this unclassified non-coding RNA (16299 nucleotides) under Anneissia japonica. Its description in RNAcentral is "nesprin-1-like, transcript variant X7". Lineage: Eukaryota; Metazoa; Echinodermata; Crinoidea; Comatulida; Comatulidae. The record is from RNAcentral.
CAAGGAAUUCGAACAACAUUCCAACCACCUUGUUGAUUGGCUAGAUGUCAAUGAACCAAUAAUUUCAAAGGAGAUCAACCUAAAAUGUCCAUUGGAAUCAAUACAGCAACAACUUGCUCAAGCCGAGGAUAUUUGUGUUGAAGCACAAACUGAGAGAAAGUGCGUGGAUGCAAUGACAGAAACUGCUAGCUUGAUGAAUGGCGUGAUGGAUGACACAUCGCAAGAGAUACUGAGCAACAAACUUGCAAGACUUCAAGAAAGAUAUGAGAGUGUUGCAACAGAAGCAAAUGAAAAAGUACAGAAGUUGCAGUCAGUAAUUAAACAGAGACAAGCCUUCGAGAGUCAGAUUGCCAAGUGUGAAAGCAUGCUUGAUGACCUGACAAAGCUAACUGAAGAAUUCAAAGAACCCUUUUCACACACAGUUGAAUUUGUACAGGAUAAACUUCAGAAGUGCUUGAAUGUAAGAGCCAAAUUAACAGCUAGUCAGCCACCAGUAGAAGCAUUACGACACAGGAGUGACUUCAUGUACAAAGCCGGUCAAGUUGACUACACGCAUAAGGUGUCAAACGUCAAUCAUGUGUACUCAGAACUGGUCAACAUGACUGACCAUUACAAGAAGAACUUAGAAGAUGCUGUAACUACACGUGAAGACUCUCAGAAGUUUAUCAGCGAACUACAGUUUUGUCUGGAGCACUGUUAUAGUGACAUGGUAGAACUAGAUCAACCAGGCAUUGUGGCUGAACAGAAACUUGAGAAGUGCAUGUCUUUGCUAUCUGAGUUGACGUCCAAAGAACCAGUACUAGAGAACCUUGAAGCCAAAGCUGCUCAGAUUAUAAAACAAGGAGAUGAAAGUGACAGAAAGGCCAUGGAAUCAAUCAUUGGUAGACUUACUGCUAACAUCACGGACACCAAGAAUAACCUUCAGCAAAGAGCUGAUAGCCUAGCAGAUGCUAUCAACCGGAAGGAUACAUUAGAUAUGGAUAUUAAAGCAGCCUUGAGGCGGAUGAUGGAUACAGCUGUAGGCCUCACCAAGGAAGAACCAAUGGCACUUGCAGUGGAUGCUGCUGAAGAGACUCUCAAGAAAUUCAAGGGUAAACUUCCAGGGUUAGAAGAAGAGCUAGCAAAAGCAACUGACUUGGUAGCAGAUGUAAAGAAGAGCUACAGCGACUUCAGUGAGCCAAUGCCCCCACAGCUAGUUCACAAAUUAGAUCAAAUUGGGAACCUAAAUAGUAAGGUGGCACAGGCCUUGAAUGCAAAGCUGAAGAAACAGGAAGAUGGUGUGGAAUGUAGAAGAGUCUUCCAGGAUGAACUGAAGCAGCUCAAAGAUUGGCUAGUGGAAGCAGAGAAGGCCCUCAAUGAAGCUAAGAAAGGAGCUAAUUUUAGUGAUCUAGGUAGUCAAAUCCAUGACCAUGAGGAAUUCUUUAAGAAGGAACCGGACAUUCAGGAUAUGAUGGAUGAUGUGGUGGAAUUGGCUGCAAGAAUUUCAUCAUCAUUACCAAAUGAAGACAACAUAAAUAUGAAAGAUGAGUUGAAAAAUGUGAACAUUCGAUUAAAUGAUGUGUCUGAUACAGCUGGCACAGUGUCAGAGCAACUAAAUGGCUGUCAAAAUGACUGGGAUAAGUUCUGUAAUCAAAUCCAAGAUAUUGAGUCAGAGUUGUUGGCUAUUGGAGAACGUGCUGUUUAUAUUAAUCCAGCAACUGAAGAAAUUGCAAAAGAAAACCAACUGCUUAACAAGGAGCUCUGUGACCAGAUUGAAGCAGUUGAUGUUUGUUUGCAAGACUUAAAAAAGAUGGCAGACAACCUUGAAAAAGAUGCAAAUGAUGAUGGUUGCCAAGCAAUCCAUGAUUCCAUCGAGCCACUAGUCACACAUUUCAAUACAGUCAAAGAUGAACAAGAGGAGCGCAGACUGAAUUUGAAAGCCAUUGCUGACAAAUGGAAAAAGUAUAAUGAUUGUUUGAAGGAAGCCAAUGAAGUUAUAGAUAAUGCCACAAACUAUAUGCCGGAGGAGUUAACAUUUGGUGUACCAACAGAAGAGCUUAUACAGCAACUGCAGAAUUCAAAAGCUGCUAAUAUGAAACUUGAGGAGGGAAGGCCAUUGAUGGAGAACCUACAAGAAGCAGCUCAACAGCUUUGUGAACAAGUACAGGAUUUGGAGUGCAUACAACCAGUUGAAAAGGCUUGUAAGGCUGCAGAACAAACAUCACAAAGGAUGUUGGAUGCAACACAGAAGCAGAUGGCAGAACUUCAGACUGCUCUAGAAGAUCGGCAUAGCUAUGAGGAAGAGAUUGAUGCCUGUGACCAUGCUUUGGAUGAACUGGAGUCUCUUUUACACAGUAUUGACCUCCCAUGUAGUUACACUGUAGAAGAUGCCCAAAUGCAGCUGAGCCAACAUCAGGACUUGAAAGACAGAAUUGGUGCCUAUGAACCAGUCAUUGAUAUUCUGAAACAGAAGCAAGCUGCCAUGCAUGAGAAAGGCCAGAUUGACCAUGCUGAGGAUGUAGAGAAGCUGGAAGCCCUCCACAAUACUCUACUUGACAAGUUAGAGGACAAGUGCACUCAGCUUGAAGAAGCUGUGGCUGUCAGAGAAAAGUUCCAUGAUGGAAUUGAAAAACUAAAGAACUUUGUAAAGAAGAGUGAAAAUGAAGUAGAAGGAUGGGAAGAACCAGGAACCAUUGCGGAGGAAAAGUUGGACAGUUGUAAUGCUCUGGUUACUGAGCUGCAAUGCAAGGAAGACUUGAUUGCUGAAUUAAACAGUUUACGUGGAGAGAUUGCUGAGCUUGGGGAGCCGGAGGAUACACAAGCCCUUGAUAAACUGAUGAGUAAAGUCACCGAUGACAUCUCCAAGUUGGAGGACAUACUGCGCAAGGAUAAAGAUGAGUUUGUUGCUGGUGUGCAGAAGAAGGAUGAGUUGGGAAAGGUGAUAGAAGAAAUGACAGAGUGGAUGGAAGAAACAGUUGCUAACUUCCAACGUGAUGUUCCUAUUGGAAUGACUGCAGCCAGUGCUGGAGUUUCAUUGGAGCAACACAAGAGCAAACAACCAGAGAUCCAAGAACAGAUUAAAAUUGCCAAACAACUUGUAAUUGAUACAAGACAAAAAUAUGAAGAGUUAAGAGAACCAGUUCCACCAGCACUUGAUGAAAAACUCAACCAAAUAAGUUCAGACUGCACCAGACUAAUAUCAGCAGUAGAGCAAAAAGGAGAGAUGUAUGAAAAGGCAUUGAGCUUGCGGGAAGAAUUUGAAGAAAUAUUAGAGUCAUUGGAAGAACAGCUUGAAAGAGGAGAGCGAGUUCUUAGCUCUGAAAUUGAAGGCAUUAAUUUCUCUAACAUUGAUGCACAGAUUCAAGAUCACAAGGAUGCUUUUGAUGAUGAAACAUCUUACCUGGAAAAGAUUGAGACGCUGGAUGAACUAGCAGAGAACAUCUCACCAUCUCUACAGCCUGAUGAGUAUAUUUCCUUAAAAGAGAAAAUGACAACACUGAACCAACGGCUCUCUGAGGACCUGGCACUUGCAAGAGAGAAUGACAGAACAUUGGAGGAGAGUCGUGGUGCAUGGCAGGAUUUCGUAAGCAAUACUGAUGAGGUUCAAGCAGCAUUAGCAACUCUCGAACAAAGGGCAAAUUAUGCAGUUCCUAAUUCACUGCAGGUUGCUCAAGAGAAUGUACUAUUAAACAAGAGCAUUGAAAAGGAGGUGUGGUUGCAGAGCAUGGCCAUGAGACAACUUGAGAACCAGUGCCAAGCCCUUAUGCAACUUGGCAGUGAUCCUGGACAAGCCACAGUUGAAACUAAAAUUCAACCAAUCAAAGACCAACUGGAGAUGCUCAAGUCUGAUUGUGCUACAGAGACCCCACAACUGCAAGACGUGGUUGACAAAUGGCAGGACUACCAAGAUGCAUUGCAAGAUGUCAAUGAUGUCAUUAUUGAUUCUGUGCAGUUUGUCCCAGUAUCAGUGCCACUUAAUCUGCCAACAGAAGACAUCAAUCAACAGCUUAAUAAUGCUCAGGUUGCAAGUGAGAUCUUAGCCGAGGGAGAGAAUAAGCUUUUAAAGUUGCAAGAGGCUACAAAAGCAUUGGUUGAAUGCAUUGGCGAUGAAGAUAUCAGUGAACCAACAACUAAAGAUCUUGAAAAUAUUUCUGAAAAAUACCAAAGAGUAUCAGAUGCCGCAAAAGAACAAGUGGAAAGACUGGCUGAUGCAAUCCAAGAACGAGCAGACUAUGAGACACAAAUUGAUGCUUGUAAAAAUGACCUGUGCAAUCUGGAGAAAUUACAUGAGAACCUGAAUAAGCCAAUUGGCUUUAAUAUUACUGAUGCGGAGGAGUCACUUAGAGAAUGCCGGGAUUUGCAGUCCCAGUUAGCUCUUCAACUUCCACUGUUAGAACAACUAAAAGAAAAGAAAGACGAGAUGACCAGUAAAGGGCAGAUAGAUCAUGCAGAGAAAGUGCAGGAGCAAAUUGACUUACUUGACAGUCUGAUAAAAACCUGUGAUCAAAAGUGUGAAAAACUUGAAGGUGCUCUAGCUGACAGGAUGGCCUUCCAUGAAGACUUGUUGUCUGUUCAGGGGCAGAUGCAUCAUUGUCAAUCUGAGCUAAAAGAAAUGCAAGAAGCUGGAGCCUCACCAGAAGAUCAACUAAACAAAAGUCAGGAAUUUAAAGAAAUUCUGAAAGAGUUGCAGCCAAAGAUAGAGCAACUAGAGGCAAACGGUCAGCUGCUUGCCAUUGAAGGUAUCAGCAGAGAUCAAUCAAUGUUGUCAGCAACAAUGAAAACUCUCAAAGAGGACUUAGAUGUCACACUUCAAGAUCUUGAGCAAGAAGAGGCAAAUAUCAAAGACAAGGUUUUGGAAAAAGAGAAACUGACUGCUGAGGUUGGAGACAUGCUGGCAUGGCUGGAAGGGAUCAAAGACACCAUGCUUGCAGAGGAUCCCAUUGGAAUUGAUGUCCAACAAGCUGAGGAGUUGUUGCAGAUUCACCAGUCGGAAAUACCAGAUGUUGAAAAUAUGUUACAGAGGGCUCAAGCUAUCAUCAUCACCACACACACAAAGUUUGCCAGGCUUGGAGAUCAAGUCCCAGAUGAGAUACAAGAACAGCUUGCCGAGAUUGAUAACUUACAUUCGCAAGUUCUUCAGGCAGCUAAGCAGAAGGAAGAAAGUCUGGAGUAUGCUGCUAGGAUCAGGGAAGAGUUUAAUCAGAGGUCAGAAGAGAUUGAAGACUGGAUAGCUGAGGCUAAGAAAUUAAUUGAAGAAGAAAAUCAAGGCAUUGAUUUUGGAAUAGUUAAGAACCAGAUGCAGAAACAUCAGGACUUUUUUGAUGAGCUGCCAAACUAUGAAACCAAAAUGGAAGACUUGUCUCAGCUUGGCGGGAAUAUUGCCAAUAGUCUGCCAGCAGACGACAAAGCUGCAAUGAUAGCCCAGCUUCAGAGGUUAUCAUCAGGUCUGAAAGAAGUAUCAACGGCAUCAGCAGAAUGUGAAGAGAUGUUAGAGAAGGGCAUCGGCGAUUGGGAGACUUUCAAAGACAGAGUGGAAGAGCUUGAAAAGAAAGUUAAUGUCCUCGAAAAAAAAGAUAAAAUGGCAACACCUUCAACUAUUGAUAUUGCAAAAGAAAACCAACUACUGAAUCAGAAUAUAGCUAAGGACUUGCAGACCUUACAACCAGAAUUUGUAUCGCUUGAGGAAGAAGCUAUGAACCUUGACAAUAAAGCUAAUGACCAGGGAAAGAAGACAGUUGCACUCCAGAUAAAACCUCUCGAAGAAGGCAUCUUAGACCUGAGACAGCAUCUUAAGAAAGAAGAACUUCAGUUGCAAGAUAUGCUACAGAAGUGGAAUGACUAUCAUGAAUCUAUGCAAGCAGUUGAAGCUGUUAUAGCUGAUGCAAACCAGUUUAUACCGGAUAAUCUAUCCCAUGAUGCUCCAUAUGAUGCCUUGCUUCAACAUUUGGACAAUGCUACGUUGGCCAAUGAAAAGUUGUUUACUGGAGAACCUAAGCUUGUUCAUCACAAGAAUGCAACAGAUGAUCUCAUUGAUCAGAUCAAAUCUGCAAAGAGCUCUCAUCCAAUCAAAGAUGACUUCCAAAAGCUACAGGAAACAUAUCAUAGGCUUCAGAAAUCUGCUUCCGAAAAACAGGCAAUAAUCAGCAUUGAACUGGAGGAAAGAAGCAAUGUGAUGGAAAUGCUCAGUGAAAUUGAAGAGGGGUUGUGUGAAUAUAAUGUAACAGCUUCAACCUUCAAUGAUAGUAUUGGCCCAGCAUUGGAUGAUGUUGACAAUAAGCUGGAACACUCUAGGGAGAUUCAAGAAGGAAUCAGCAAAAAGUCUGCGGAACUAGAUCGCAUUGAAAGUGGCCAGGAGAGGAAGUACGUGGCCUAUCACAGUGAUCCACCGGCGGAGAUUAUCGCAGAGAUUUGCAGACUAAGAUGUUUGGUAAAUGAUGUUAGCCAACAACUGCAAGAGAAUGAAGAGGAGCUUGAUAGUGCAAAUGAAUUGAGAAGAAGCUUCCAUGAUCAAAUAGAGCAGUUAGAAGAUCAGAUGAAUGCCACUGCAGAAAGAAUGCAGGAACCAAUUGAAGCUGUCCCUGACGGCAUCUUGUCUCAAGAGGAUAUUCACCAUGAGAUUCUCGGCCUAAGCCCAGCUCUGGAAGCUGUCCAAAACCAAGCUCAGCAAAUUACAGAACAGACUGAAAACUGUGAAGAGAAGGAGCAGGUUAUUGCUGUAGUGAAUUCAAUCCAACAGAAGUUGUCUGAGCUUCAGCAUGACUCAUCCAAAAAGGGGGAAAGGCUAUCAGAGGCUGUAGAAAUAUGGGAGGCUUAUCAAGAUGCCUUGCAUAGUGUUGAGGACUGGAUACAAAAAAGCCAACCAAUCAUCGCAACUGAUCUUGAUCUCGAUAACCCAGAUGAUGUUGCCAACCAGUUGCAUGUUCAUAAGGAUGUUGUUGCUAUAUCACCAAGAAUUCAUGAAAAUCUUGAAACAAUGAAUACAGCUGCAGGAAAGCUUGCUACUGUCUGCAACACAGCACCUUUAGUGGAGAAGGCUGUCGAGAUGAAUGAGGUAGCAACUGAACUUGAGUCGUCUGCUACACAACGCUUGCAAGCGCUAGAAAGACUGGCCAAUGAUUGGCAGGAUUAUCAGCAGCGAGCUCAGAAACUUGAGAAGGAACUUCAGGAGUUGAAAGAGAUCCUGAUGGAUCCAGAGUCGAAUGAGAAGAAUUUGAAUGAGCAACUUGAGCUAACGCAGGAUGUUGUUGCAGAUUUGAAUGAAUUAAAAGAAACUCUUCAAGAACUGCAGAAAAGGAAACAACAACUUAUUGGAUCACAUCACCCAACUCACACAGAUCCUAAACUUGCAAAUCUAGAAGAGGAAUUGGACAAGAUUGAAGAAAUAACUCAAGAUAACCAAGACCUUUUGGAACAGUCCAUUCACCAACAGGAUAGUUUUGUGGCACAUCUUGAAAAACUUUCCAGAAAGAUGUUGGAAGCUCAGGAGAUGGUGGUCUCAACGCCAAUAACUGCUGAUGACAUACCAGGACUAGAACAUCAACUGAGUCAACAUGAUGCAUUGUCAUCAGAACUGCAAACGUUCGAGAUUGGUAUAAAGGAUAUAAACACAAAGAAGAUAGAAUUGCAAGAACAAGCCAACCGUCUACAGGAGGCUCGUAAAAAAGCAAAAGAAAAAUUGGAUUCUACUUCUACUCCAGUUUCUUAUGAAAAACCAGUAGAAGCAUCAGAGGUGAAAGACACAGUGGAGAGACCUAAAGAAAAACUAGAGUAUACUUUGUGUCUAGCUUCAAAGCCUAGACUACCAUUUGAAGAUCUGAAAGAAGAAGGAAAUGUCUGCCUUGAGGCUGUCGCCAGAGAGCUCACUAAGCCUUCAUCAAAAAAGCAUAAAAGAAAGUUGACCGAAGAAGAUGUGCCAGAAAGUGGUCUAGGCAGCUCUGCUGAAUUUCCUGAAGAAUAUUCACCAACGACAAAGUGGACAACUGAGAGUUUUCCGGACAGAAUGUCUGGUUUUUCAUCUAUCAAAACUUUGCCAGAACUGGUUCUUAGAAGUCGCAACAGAAAUUUAGCAGAUUGUGUUUCUGAGGAUGAGAUAGAUGGAAAGGUUUCUGGAGAGAGUGAUGCUGCCUCGCUGCCAUCCUUUGCUAGUGGUAUAUCCUCACCUGCAUUCUAUACACCAGAUAACGGUAGUCCUUUACACUCACAAGAUGAAAAUGAUGAGGAUGAUGGUACACCAGUUGGAGCAUCUCCUGACCUUUCUGCUCUUGGAAUGUUUCAGCGAAUAUUGCAAAUUAAAGAAAAGUCUCCAAAAACAGAGGAAACAGAUGGGUCACUAGAGAUUGUGAUACCAGAGGAAGAAUCUCAUAUUUGGAAGCCUUUAAUUGAAGCCCCUAGUCCAUUGGUUGAAGUGUCAGAUGUCUACCCAAUUGCUCAGGAGGAAAGAUCACUUUCAUUUGAAGAUGAAUUAAUAGAUGAAAUGGAAGUUCCAAAACAAAAUGUUGAGAUCAAGCCAUUGAAAUUAAAUUUACCAGAUGCUCCAACACCCCCACCAUCCCCAGUAGGAGAGCAUAGACCCUCAGUGUCAUUCAGUGAUGAUGAUAUAGCAAUACUUGAAAAUUAUUUACAACCUCCAGAAAAAAUUUCUCUUAGUGACAUGCAACAGGAAUUGGCAAAGCUAGAAGUUGAUCCAUCUCUGAUUCUAAGCAGCACUGGCAUUGAUGCAAGAUCUUCUUUUCCUAUUAUUGAUGAAAGUAUUGACAGAUCUUGUGUCUCACCGGUUGAAACCCCUCUUCAGGAGCUUCUUGAUAAGGGUAAUAAUCUGCCAGCAGAAAAGCUUUUUCCUGAGAAGAGAGGUCCUGUGCAUCAUGUGAAAUUCCAUACUCCACUAGUUCAAGGAGAGUUAGAGGAGGAUAAUAUUCCAGAAUUGGACUUAAGUGAAAAACCUGCAGUUGAUGGAACAAGUCACCUCUAUGCUCCAAGCUUUCUUGAGAGUUAUCCUAUGUCACAAGCAGUUUCUCCAGUUAGGCAGCCAUUCAGGAACCAAGCACCACCUCGUGGUUCAACAUGGCAAUCAUCCACAUCCCCAAGAUCAUCACAUGAACCUGAGGCAUCAUUAGCUGUUUUGUCUCCACAGUCAAGGGUUGCAAUCGGAUCAGCUGUGAGUCCAAUAAAGCCAGUAACUCUUCCAAGUGGUCUGCAUCUUGACGAUGAACCCAAACCCAGAAUGCUGUCUUUCACGGAUGUUGAUGACGAUAAGAAAGUUGAAGAUCUUAACAAGUCAUGGAUUCACCUUCAGAACAAGAUGCAAGAGAAGCAAAACCAACUGAGAGAAGCUUUGAAACGUCAAGUUGCCUACCAGGAUGCCUUAUCACAAGUCAGCAUUGACAUGGAAACUGCAGAGUCAACUAUUGAAGAAAUUGAACAACUCUCUGAACUUCCGCAGAAGAUUGAACAUGUCAAGGUUCUUCUUGAUGAAUUAGAUGACAUCAAGAAUGCAAUUGAGGCUGUUCAUGACAAGGGAGAACGUAUUCUGCUGCCUGGAGAUGUCAACAGUAGAGAAGCUAUGUUAGCAUCUUUAGACCUCCUGCAAGAGAAGGUUGGCAGACUCAAGCAGAAUGCCAAAGAUCUCUGCUAUGAUGCUGAGGCAAAACAUAAAGAACAUGAGGAGAAUAUCAGCAAGCUUGAAGCUUGCCAAGAAGAACUGCAGUUUAUUCAUGAUUGGACUUCAGAGUUGACAUUGACUCUAGAAGUUGAGAAUGAAGAUGAAGAAGAGGAGGAACUUGAACCAGAUAUUGCUGGAAUUCAAGAAGAAAUCAUAAAAAACCAGAAUCGUUUGCUGGAAGUCAGUCGCAAACUGCAGAAGUUGGAUGACAUCCAAUCAUUCCUUGAGGAUACACUCGCGGUAGAAGAGAUUCCUCUUGGUUAUGAACUUCUAGAUCGAGAGGCUGAGCAGCGAGAGCAACUGGAGAAGUUGAAACAAGAGCUGAGCGAUAAACAAGGGAAUUUGUGUGCUAAUCGUGAUGCCGAACGACUUGUGCAAGAGUACAAGGUUAUGCAAGAUUGGAUAGAGAAGAAUCAGGCAGCCUCUAGCUUUCUGUUGUCACCAGAGGAAGCAUGCUUUAAUGUUGAGAUGCUACAGCAACAAGCCCAACUUCAGCAGAAACUUGAGGAAGAGUUGUCUGCACAUCAAACCCUCGUAAAAUCUAUCGCCAGAAAAGGCCAGCGAAGGAGUCGUAGAACGGCCAGUACAACCAGUAACGAUGGGGAUAGUGACCAGGAUGUUAAUGAACUGAAAGCCCGAUGGGAAGAAAUAUCAGCACACCUUGGCGAUAAAAAACGGCAAUUACAAACUUCACUGGAAUACGGUAGACCACAGGAAUUCAUGCCAACAUCAAGUUAUCGUCAGCCAAGGAGAUCCCUGACAUACAAUGAUGAGGAUGAUGCAACUUCAACAGAGGAACUGAAGGCAUCUCUUGGGCAUCUGAAUCAGUGCUGGGAAAAGCUGCAGAUGCAGGUGGAUGACAAGCAGACUCAGCUAGAGCAGGCAUUUGAGUUCCAGGGACAUUACCAAGAAGCGCUGGAGACAGUGUCCAGUUGGUUGGACAACGUUCAAGUGAAACUGUUCGCGUCAGAUAAGGGCAAGGACGCACAAACUCAAUUAGAAGAGAACACUACACUACAAAAUGAACUACAGUCAUUCCAAGAACAACUAAAAGUAAUGAAUGAUGCAUGCGAGAUGAUCGUUGCGGAGGCAGAUGUCCGUGAUAAAAACCUGAUCAAGCAAGCCUUGAGCGAUCUCAAUGAAAGGCUGACAACGCUGGAGAAAGAAGCACAGCAGAAGGAACAGGACCUUGUUGAAAAGAAUAAACAGUUCCAGGAAUACCAGGAUGAGGUCCAAAAUUUUCAGACGUGGUUAAAUGAGACAAGGGAGAUGCUAGAGGACGAGUCAGGGGACGACCAACCAGAUGGUACCCUUGGUGAUGUAGAACAAAGACUGAUACAGAAUCAGCAACGAAGGCAACAGUUUCAGAAACUUGAAGAAGAUCUUGUUGAAUAUGAAACUAAUUUCCGUGAUUUGAUGGACAGAGGUCAACAGUUACAGAUCACCAAUCCUCAAGCCUCUGUUGCCAUGGAUAUUGCCGGGCUAAAAACAAAUUGGGAAGAACUCCAACGACAAACAAGUAACAGGAAAAACCAACUUCAACGCAAGAAAAUGUUCCAGGAACAGUAUCACAAAAUCAUUGAGGAUUAUAGUGAGUAUCUAGCAACAGCAGAAGAGAAGUUACGCAAAGAUGAAGUCAUCGCUACUGACCUUGCUGACCUGAAAGAUCAGCUAGAAAAACACAAGGAAUUUUUUGGUGAUGCUGAGACGCAUCAUGUUCUGAUUGAGUCAAUCGCACGAAAAGCUGAUCCAUACACUCGCAGUCUCUUCGCAUCUAAGCAAGCCUUUCUUGAUAAAUCCACCAAUCAGCUUCAAGCAUGUGGUACUGUUCGUGGACAAAACCUUGAGAAGAUCGUCACGGAGUGGUCUCAAUUUGAGAAGAACUUUGAUGAGUUAAAGGGAUGGCUCGGACAUGUUGAGUUACAACUACCGAGAAGCGUCAGUCAUGAUAACAUGGAGAACGUUCAGAAAGGCAUACACAAGUACCAGGCUAUGAAAAACAUUUUAGGAGAAAGGCAAGCUGCUAUGCAACAAGUUUUAGAACAAGGCCAGGCAUUGCUCAACAACAUCACCUGUGCUCCACUAGAGAAAAAGCUUGGUAACUUCAGUGACAGGUGGAAUGCUCUUCAGAAUAAGAUUGACCAGGACUUGAAGAAGCUUAACACGCUACUAGAGGAAUGGAGAGCAUUUGAGCGCGAGAGUCAAGAGUUCUUACCAUGGCUGGAUCGAUCAUUGAACCAACUUAACGACUGGAGUGUGAAGGCUAACCAAGUGGAAGACCUGAAUACAUUAGCUGUCUUGGUUGAUAGAUUUACAGAAUUCCGUAAGGAUGUAGAAAACCAUGUCCCAAUGAAAGUAUCCGUUUGCUCCCAUGGGACACAGCUUUUGCGAAUCAAGGAGUUGAAACUUCUUAAGAUUCGUGAAAAGUUGAGCAAAAUUGAACAGCAGUGGACAAGCUUACAGAAUACUGUGCCCAUAGUACAGGACCAACUACAUCACUUGCAGAUGGAGAUGUUGCCAUCAAGGCAAGCUCUUAAUGAGCUAAUUUUGUGGAUGGAAGCACUAGAGAAACAACUGAAGAAAGAUGUUGGAAACAUUUUCACAAAAUCUGAUGAGGUUGAAACACAAUUUAAACGAUACAUGGGGUACAAGAUUGUGUUGUCUGCUAAGCAGCUGACUGUUGACUUUGUUAACCAAUCUGUGCUUCAGAUUAGCCAAGACUUAGAUCAGAAACGAGGUGAUAAGACAGAUUUUGCUGAAAAACUUGGAAGUAUGAAUAAACGAUGGCAAAUUUUGAAUGCUAAGAUCGCUGAUGAAGUAAAGACUUUGGAAGAUUUGUGCAGUGACUGGAAAGAGUACGAAGCAGCUGUGCUUGAGAUGAUCACUUGGCUCGAUCAGAGUGAUGCCAAGAUCAGGAAGUAUGACAACAGAUGUGGCAAUGAAAUGUCUGUACAGCAAGCUGUCAGGGAUUGUGAGGUCAUGUCUGCCUUACUUGAAAAGAAAGAGAAGGACAUCGAGAAGGUCCGUGAAAUGGGUUUGAAAGUAGCGGACGAAACUGCAGUCAACCAAACCAUGAUGACCAUCCAACAGUCUAAGAUCAGUUUGUUGAAUCUGCUAUCCAGACUCCAAGUGGUUCUGAGAGGAGUAAAAGAACAGUGGAAUCUGUAUAGUGAGUCAUUACAGACCGUCACACAGUGUCUGGGGGAGGCAGAAUAUUCAGCUGGUAGAGUGAGAACUGUUGGUGGCACUCUUGGGUCUUUCAGAUUACAAGUGUAUAAACUCAAGGGUAUUGAGUCAGUCAAGGAACUUCAAAAGGAAUUUAAAAAUAACAGAAUUCACUUGAAUCGACUUACAAAACAAGCGAAUCAGUUGACACCAGCACUGGAGAAGACAGUUGCUGAAAGCAUUGAGAGAACUGUUGAUGACGUGUCUAGAAGGUGGAAAACAAUUGAUGAGAAAAUUAGAGACACCUUGAAACAGUUUGAGAGGUCACUUGUAAUGUGGCAGCAGUUUGAGGAACGAUACAGUGAUGUUAAAGACUGGGUGGUUGAAAAAGAACGACAUUGUAAUAAUCUAUUAGACAAUAAUAAUGAAACAGAAGAUCAAACUGACUCAGGAAAUGAUUUAAAACAAUGUGAAAUUUUACUAACAGAGCUCCAAAAUUACCAAGAUUUGAAUGAACUUAAAACCUUUAUACUGAACCUUACCAAAGAAAUGGACACGCCAACCGCAACCAAUGUCAUUGGCCGGCGCAGGAUGUUAGAACAGAAAAUGGAAACAAUGAAGCAGAGCUUAUCACGGCAUGUAGCAACACUACAAGAUGAUAUUGAUGCUCAGCAGAAAUUCCACACCAAGGCAGAGAUGUUGCUGGAGAGGUUGGCAGAUCAAGAGCAAGUAAUAUCAAGACAAGAUCCUAAUAGAUCAUCCGAUGAAAACUCGAUUCGUGACAGGAUGGAUAACCUGAAGAGUGUUAUGCACGACUUCACAAGCCACCAGGCACAGUUGGAUGCAUUGAACGAUCAGGGCUACAAGCUAAGUUUAAACCAAUCAAAUGCAUCCAGUCUGGUCCACAUUAACAACCAGUGGAACAAGUUGUCAGUGAAGGCUUCAGAGAAGUACCGCAACAUGCAAGCAGUCUUGCUGCAGCAACAAAGCUUUGCGCAAAAGUGCGACACUUGGAUGAUCUUCCUGUCACAGACCGAGAAAAAUCUUGCAGUUGAUAUUGCAGGCAACUAUGAAGACUUACUCAAACAACAAAAAGUCUAUGCUCAUUUUGAAGCAGACAUUUUCAACAGGCAGCAGAUCUUGUUCUCAAUCGUUAAUGAUGGUUUAAGGAUGAUACAAGAUGGAGAGAUUGAUGAUCCUAAUGAGUUCCAACAUAAACUGACACUUUUAAGUGAACAAUGGCAGAAUGUUGUCAAACGAGCAAGCCAACGGAAAGACAUCAUUGACAGAAACAUCAAUGACUGGCAUAGGUAUCAAGAACUGCUUGAGAAGAUGAACGAAUGGUUUAUGGAAAUUGAAGUAGAGAUCAACCAAUUAGAAUUUGAGACAGCAUCAAUUGAAACUCUUCAGAGCUUUCUUGAAGCUGCUAAGAUUACCCAGAAAGCUGUGUCUCUCAACGAAAGUAAAUACCUAGCACUGAAUGAUGCAGGCAAGCUUUUGUUGCGUAACACUGAUCGUGGUGCAUCAUCAAUGAUCCGUCAACGUUUAGCAGACUCUCAGGCCCAUUGGCACAAAGUUACCACAACAUUGAAGAGAAACCUCCAGCGCCUUGAGGAACUGAUCACUGCCUGGGAGACAUCAAAUCAGAGUAUUGAAGACAUUAACAAGUGGCUCAAGACCAUUAGGGUAAUGUCAGCUCAACCAUUGCCUGUUAUGUUUGAUGACAUGCAAAAAAUACUCCAGAAGUGCAAGGAAUACGAGGAUUGUUUCAAAAAUUCUCGUCACAAGCUCGAUCGGUUAAAUAACCAGGAGAGAAAUUUGGCAAAUAUCCUUAGUCCGGAUGACAUCUCGGUUUUACACGAGAGAUUGCUGUUGCUAAGCAAACAAUGGGAUGAGAUUCAUCAUCAGACAUGUCAGAAGAAACAGAGGAUUAUUGAAAGACUCAACCAAUGGACCAACUUUGGAUUGCGAUAUAAGGAGAUCUGUGAUUGGCUGUCUCAAAUGGAAGCAAAAGUCUCGCAGAAUGGAGAGCACAGCAUUGAAGAUCUUUUGUACAACUUGCAAGAGGGUUUUAAAGAUGAAAUUGCAGCAGCAGGCAACAACAAAGACCAGCUUAUUGACUUGGGUGAACGCUUAAUGAAGGCCAGCAAUGAACUCAAGUCCAAUGACAUUGAGUAUAAACUUGCCAAACUUAAUGACAGAUGGCAUCAUCUGAUGGAACUAAUUAUUGCAAGGGUGAAGAAACUACAAGAGACCCUAACAGCUGUACAGCAACUGGACUCCAACAUGGCUAACUUAAAGCAGUGGUUAAGUUACAUUGAAAAAGAACUUGCAUGCCCUGUUAAUUAUGAGUCAUGUGGAAAUGAAGAAAUCCAGGAAAAGUUACUGCAUCAAAUGGAGAUUCAGAAGGACAUUGAGAAACAUAGUACUGGUGUUGGGUCAGUUUUGAGCCUCUGCGAAAUGUUGCUCCAUGAUUGCGAUGCAUGCUCUACCGAUGCAGACUGUGAGGCCAUCCAAGCGGCCACACGUAGUUUGGACCAAAGAUGGCGCAAUAUCUGUACUCUUUCAAUGGAGAAAAAAAUGAGAAUUGAAGAAACGUGGAGGCUUUGGCAGAAGUUCAUGGAAGAUUACAAACGGUUUGAAGAGUGGCUUGUAAAAACUGAAAAAGCAGUUUCUUAUCCAGACACAGCUGCUACGCAGUUCAGUGCCAUACGAGAUGAGAUUAAAAAAUUUGAGGGAUUUCAACGAAAGAUUCAUGAGAAUUUAGCCCAGCUGGAAAUAAUAAACAAACAAUACCGACGCCUUGCACGAGAAGGCCGAACAGACAGUACUGACCAACUUAAGACCAGGGUACAUGAUGCAAACAAUCGCUGGGACAGCUUAGCCCGUCGCUGCAGUAGUAUACUGAGGCGACUGAAAUACAUGCAGUCAGAAAGAGAAGAGUACGAGAAUACGAGGGAAGGAUUAUUAGUUUGGUUAACAGAGAUAGAUCUGCAACUAACAAAUGUUGAACAUUUCUCAGAAUCUGAUACUUCAAUUAAAGUUAAACAAAUAAAGGCAUUCCAACAUGAAAUAGACUUGAACCAAAGUAGAAUUGAUGACAUUAAUUCAAGUGCACAAAUAUUAAUGCAACGAUGUGACCCUAACGAUGCGGUCAUAAUCCAAGAAUCGUUAGAUGAACUCCACCGAUAUUGCGAGGAAGUAUUUUCUCGUGUCGACAGAUUUCAACGCAAACUUCAACGGAUUUCCAUGGCACAGAAUCAAGCAGGUCGGGCCGGUAGGCUAAGACUUGGCUUAUCCAUGAAUCCAGAUAGCAUGUAACACAAAAUGAACUACUUGUUAAGUUCCUCCAGAGGGUACAUAUUGUGAACUGUUAACAUUUAGCAGUCUGACUUUACCAAUUGGGGGUCUGAUUGAUAAUGAUGGUGCAGAAUCCUCCGAGUAUGAAACAGGGGAAUCAAGGGAAAGUAGUCCGGACAGACAUAGUCACCAUAGCA